This 148-nucleotide small RNA is filed under the name Pongo abelii (Sumatran orangutan). Its description in RNAcentral is "Metazoan signal recognition particle RNA (ENSPPYG00000036223.1)". Lineage: Eukaryota; Metazoa; Chordata; Mammalia; Primates; Hominidae. The record is from Rfam by way of RNAcentral.
GGCGGGCGUGGUGGCGGGCGCCUGUAAUCCCAGCUACUCAGGAGGCUGAGGCAGGAGAAUCGCUUGAGCCCGGGAGGCAGCGGUUGCAGUGAGCGGAGAUCUCGCCACGGCACUCCAGCCUGGGCGACAAAGCGAGACUCUGUCUCAA